AACGAACGCUGGCGGCAGGCCUAACACAUGCAAGUCGAGCGAGCAUUUCGGUGCUAUCUGCGGACGGCUGAGUAACGCGUGGUAACUUGCCCUUUUCUGCGGUAUAGUCGUGUUGAACAUGGGUUAAUACCGCAUACGCUCUUUUGGGGUAAGAUCUACCGGAGAAGGAUCGGCCCUCGUUGGAUUCGGUAGUUUGUGGGGUAAUCGCCCACCAAGCCGACGAUCCAUAGCUGGUUUGAGAGGAUGAUCAGCCACACUGGGACUGAGACACGGCCCAGACUGCUACGGGAGGCAGCAGUGGGGAAUCUUAGACAAUGGGGGCAACCCUGAUCUAGCCAUGCCGCGUGAGUGAUGAAGGCCUUAGGGUUGGAAAGCGCUUUCAGCUGGGAAGAUAAUGCCGGUACCAGCAGAAGAAGACCCGGCUAACUCCGUG
RNAcentral lists this ribosomal RNA (433 nucleotides) under uncultured bacterium. Its description in RNAcentral is "partial 16S ribosomal RNA". It matches the Rfam family "Bacterial small subunit ribosomal RNA", at positions 29 to 507 of the family's 1533-position model. The record is from RNAcentral.